CAAUAGCGUAUAUUUAAGUUGUUGCAGUUAAAAAGCUCGUAGUUGGAUUUCGGAUGGGAUUUGCCGGUCCGUCGUUACGAUGUGCACUGGCCAGUCCUAUCUUGUUGUCGGGGACUAGCUCCUUGGAUUCACUUCCUGGGACUAGGAGCUGACGAGGUUACUUUGAGUAAAUUAGGGUGUUCAAAGCAAGCCUACGCUCUGAAUACAUUAGCAUGGAAUAACACGAUAGGACUCUGGCUUAUCUUGUUGGUCUGUGAGACCAGAGUAAUGAUUAAGAGGGACAGUCGGGGACAUUCGUAUUUCAUUGUCAGAGGUGAAAUUCUUGGAUUUAUGAAAGACGAACUUCUGCGAAAGCAUUUGUCAAGGAUGUUUUCAUUAA
RNAcentral lists this ribosomal RNA (379 nucleotides) under uncultured eukaryote. Its description in RNAcentral is "partial 18S ribosomal RNA". It matches the Rfam family "Eukaryotic small subunit ribosomal RNA", at positions 592 to 976 of the family's 1831-position model. The record is from RNAcentral.